Molecule: ribosomal RNA, 449 nt
Filed under: uncultured bacterium
Lineage: Bacteria
Description: partial 16S ribosomal RNA
Rfam family: Bacterial small subunit ribosomal RNA
Source: RNAcentral
AACGAACGCUGGCGGCAGGCCUAACACAUGCAAGUCGAACGCCCUGGCAACAGGGAGUGGCAGACGGGUGAGUAACGCGUGGGAACGUGCCCUUCGGUUCGGAAUAACUCAGGGAAACUUGAGCUAAUACCGGAUACGUGCGAGAGCAGAAAGAUUUAUCGCCGAAGGAUCGGCCCGCGUCCGAUUAGCUAGUUGGUGAAGUAACGGCUCACCAAGGCGACUAUCGGUAGCUGGUCUGAGAGGAUGAUCAGCCACACUGGGACUGAGACACGGCCCAGACUCCUACGGGAGGCAGCAGUGGGGAAUAUUGGACAAUGGGCGCAAGCCUGAUCCAGCCAUGCCGCGUGAGUGAUGAAGGCCCUAGGGUUGUAAAGCUCUUUUACCCGGGAUGAUAAUGACAGUACCGGGAGAAUAAGCUCCGGCUAACUUCGUGCCAGCAGCCGCGGUAA